Molecule: ribosomal RNA, 1442 nt
Filed under: metagenome
Description: bacterial SSU rRNA
Rfam family: Archaeal small subunit ribosomal RNA
Source: RNAcentral
UCCAGUUGAUCCUGCUGGAGACUACCUCUUUUGGGGUUCGAUUAAGCCAUGCACGUCAAAGGAAAGCUUGCUUUCCUGGCGCACAGCUCAGUAACACGUGGACAACCUACCCUAGAGACGGGCAUAACCUCGGGAAACUGAGGACAAUACCCGAUAGGUAACAAGUACUGGAAUGUCUGUUACCCAAAUGAUUUUUCGCUCUAGGAUGGGUCUGCGGCGGAUUAGGUUGAUGGCGGGGGUAAUGGCCUCCCAUGCCGACGAUCCGUACCGGCCUUGAGAGAGGGAGCCGGGAGAUGGAUACUGAGACAAAGAUCCAGGUCCUACGGGACGCAGCAGGCGCGAAAACUUCCCAAUGCGCGAAAGCGUGAGGAGGGAACCCCAAGUGUGAGCCGACAAGGUUUGCUUUUCUGGAGUGUAAAUAGCUCCAGGAAUAAGGGCUGGGUAAGACUGGUGCCAGCCUCCGCGGUAACACCAGCAGCUCGAGUGGUAGUCGUUUUUAUUGGGCUUAAAGCGUUCGUAGUCGGUUUCGUCAGUCUUCUGUGAAAUCCAUCGGCUUAACCGAUGGGCUGGCAGAGGAUACUGCGGGACUAGGAGCCGGGAAGGGCGAGGGGUAUUCCUUAGGUAGCGGUGAAAUGCUAUAAUCUUAGGAAGACCGCCGGUGGCGAAGGCGCCUCGCUGGAACGGGCUCGACGAUGAGGGACGAAAGCUAGGGGAGCAAAUCGGAUUAGAUACCCGAGUAGUCCUAGCCGUAAACUAUGCGGACUAAGUGUUAUCCAAACCUCGUGUUCGGAUAGUGCUGAAGGGAAACCAUUAAGUCCGCCGCCUGGGGAGUACGGUCGCAAGGCUGAAACUUAAAGGAAUUGGCGGGGGAGCACCACAAGGCGUGGAGUCUGCGGUUUAAUUGGAUACAACGCCGGGCAACUCACCAGGGGCGACGGCAGAAUGAAGGCCAGGCUGAGGGUCUUGCCUGACGAGCCGAGAGGUAGUGCAUGGCCGUCGUCAGCUCGUACCGUGAGGCGUGCGGUUAAGUCCGUUAACGAGCGAGACCCGUGCCCUUAUUUGCCACCGCUUCAGCUUGCUGGGGCGAGCACUAUAAGGGGACCGCUGGCGAUGAGUCAGAGGAAGGUGCGGGCGACGGUAGGUCUGUAUGCUCCGAAUCUCCUGGGCUACACGUGGACUACAAUGGCGUAAACAACGGGUUGCGACACCGUAAGGCGAGAGCCAAUCCCUUAAAUUACGUCCAAGUUCGGAUCGAGGGUUGCAACUCACCCUCGUGAAGCUGAAAUGCCUAGUAAUCGCAGUUUACUAUACUGCGGUGAAUAUGUCCCCGCUCCUUGCACACACCGCCCGUCAAACCAACCGAGUAGAUUUAGGAUGAGGCACCUCCGUUUCGGAAGUGUCGAAUUCUAUUUUUGCAAGGGGGGUUAAGUCGUAACAAGGUA